GACGAACGCUGGCGGCGUGCUUAACACAUGCAAGUCGAACGGUGAAGGGACCGGUUUUUGCUGGUUCUGGAUGAGUGGCGAACGGGUGAGUAACACGUGAGUAACCUGCCCCCUUCUUCUGGAUAACCGCAUGAAAGUGUGGCUAAUACGGGAUAUUCUGCGCCUGCUGCAUGGUGGGUGUGGGGAAGAUAUUGUUUCGGUGUGUGAUGGGCUCGCGGACUAUCAGCUUGGUGGUGGAGUGAUGGCCUAACAAGGCGGUGCCGGGUCGACCGCCUGAGAGGGUCGGCGGCCACGAUAGGAAUGCGCCGCGGACCAGACUACGACGGGAGGCAGCAGUGAAGAAUACUGCACAAUGGGAGGCAGGAUGAUGCAGCGACGCCGCGUGAGGGAUGGAGGCCUUAGGGUUGUAAACUUCUUUCGCCAGUGAAGCAGGCCUGUCGUUUCUGUGCGUGGGUUGACGGUAGCUGGAUAAGAAGCGCCGGCUAACUACGUG
Molecule: ribosomal RNA, 493 nt
Filed under: uncultured bacterium
Lineage: Bacteria
Description: partial 16S ribosomal RNA
Rfam family: Bacterial small subunit ribosomal RNA
Source: RNAcentral